Long non-coding RNA from Ahaetulla prasina, 144 nucleotides. RefSeq lists it as uncharacterized. The transcript is spliced from 2 exons. NCBI's taxonomy places the organism in Eukaryota, Metazoa, Chordata, Lepidosauria, Squamata, Colubridae. The record is from RefSeq and is a predicted model, not a curated record.
GCAAAGGUGUGUUUAGCAGCGGUUUGAAAGGAGGUGUACAUUUAACAAAAGACCCUAAAGAGGUAGGACAGCUUGCUAAACAGAUGAUUGGAUAUAAUCUUACAACGAAGCAAACUCCAAAAGGUGGUGUUAAAGUUAAGAAGG